RNAcentral lists this ribosomal RNA (483 nucleotides) under uncultured bacterium. Its description in RNAcentral is "partial 16S ribosomal RNA". It matches the Rfam family "Bacterial small subunit ribosomal RNA", at positions 28 to 523 of the family's 1533-position model. The record is from RNAcentral.
GACGAACGCUGGCGGCGUGCUUUACACAUGCAAGUCGAACGGUGAAGGUGGAGCUUGCUCCGCCGGAUCAGUGGCAAACGGGUGAGUAACACGUGGGCAACCUGCCCCUAACUUUGGGAUAACUACUCGAAAGAGUAGCUAAUACCGGAUAUGAAGUCUGUAGGCAUCUAUGGAUUUGGAAAGUUUUUCGGUUAGGGAUGGGCCCGCGGCCUAUCAGCUUGUUGGUGAGGUAGUGGCGCACCAAGGCGACGACGGGUAGCCGGCCUGAGAGGGCGACCGGCCACACUGGGACUGAGACACGGCCCAGACUCCUACGGGAGGCAGCAGUGGGGAAUAUUGCGCAAUGGGCGAAAGCCUGACGCAGCAACGCCGCGUGCGGGAUGAAGGCCUUCGGGUUGUAAACCGCUUUCAGCAGGGAAGAAGCGAAAGUGACGGUACCUGCAGAAGAAGCACCAGCUAACUACGUGCCAGCCGCCGCGGUAA